UGGGAAUAUUGCACAAUGGGCGCAAGCCUGAUGCAGCCAUGCCGCGUGUAUGAAGAAGGCCUUCGGGUUGUAAAGUACUUUCAGCGAGGAGGAAGGCGUUGUGGUUAAUAACCGCAGCGAUUGACGUUACUCGCAGAAGAAGCACCGGCUAACUCCGUGCCAGCAGCCGCGGUAAUACGGAGGGUGCAAGCGUUAAUCGGAAUUACUGGGUGUAAAGCGCACGCAGGCGGUCUGUCAAGUCGGAUGUGAAAUCCCCGGGCUCAACCUGGGAACUGCAUCCGAAACUGGCAGGCUAGAGUCUUGUAGAGGGGGGUAGAAUUCCAGGUGUAGCGGUGAAAUGCGUAGAGAUCUGGAGGAAUACCGGUGGCGAAGGCGGCCCCCUGGACAAAGACUGACGCUCAGGUGCGAAAGCGUGGGGAGCAAACA
RNAcentral lists this ribosomal RNA (426 nucleotides) under uncultured bacterium. RNAcentral describes it as "partial 16S ribosomal RNA". It matches the Rfam family "Bacterial small subunit ribosomal RNA", at positions 356 to 774 of the family's 1533-position model. The record is from RNAcentral.